UUCCUUUUCACAAGGCCUUUAUAAGUUC
RNAcentral lists this non-coding RNA (28 nucleotides) under Rattus norvegicus (Norway rat). The record is from RNAcentral. Lineage: Eukaryota; Metazoa; Chordata; Mammalia; Rodentia; Muridae.